RNAcentral lists this ribosomal RNA (1381 nucleotides) under Halomonas sp. R-1-R-15. Its description in RNAcentral is "bacterial SSU rRNA". It matches the Rfam family "Bacterial small subunit ribosomal RNA", at positions 71 to 1447 of the family's 1533-position model. The record is from RNAcentral. Lineage: Bacteria; Pseudomonadati; Pseudomonadota; Gammaproteobacteria; Oceanospirillales; Halomonadaceae.
GAUGGGAGCUUGCUCCCAGGCGUCGAGCGGCGGACGGGUGAGUAAUGCAUAGGAAUCUGCCCGAUAGUGGGGGAUAACCUGGGGAAACCCAGGCUAAUACCGCAUACGUCCUACGGGAGAAAGCAGGGGCUCUUCGGACCUUGCGCUAUCGGAUGAGCCUAUGUCGGAUUAGCUGGUUGGUGAGGUAAUGGCUCACCAAGGCGACGAUCCGUAGCUGGUCUGAGAGGAUGAUCAGCCACAUCGGGACUGAGACACGGCCCGAACUCCUACGGGAGGCAGCAGUGGGGAAUAUUGGACAAUGGGCGAAAGCCUGAUCCAGCCAUGCCGCGUGUGUGAAGAAGGCCCUCGGGUUGUAAAGCACUUUCAGUGGGGAAGAAAGCCUUGGGGCUAAUACCCUCGAGGAAGGACAUCACCCACAGAAGAAGCACCGGCUAACUCCGUGCCAGCAGCCGCGGUAAUACGGAGGGUGCGAGCGUUAAUCGGAAUUACUGGGCGUAAAGCGCGCGUAGGUGGCUUGAUAAGCCGGUUGUGAAAGCCCCGGGCUCAACCUGGGAACGGCAUCCGGAACUGUCAGGCUAGAGUGCAGGAGAGGAAGGUAGAAUUCCCGGUGUAGCGGUGAAAUGCGUAGAGAUCGGGAGGAAUACCAGUGGCGAAGGCGGCCUUCUGGACUGACACUGACACUGAGGUGCGAAAGCGUGGGUAGCAAACAGGAUUAGAUACCCUGGUAGUCCACGCCGUAAACGAUGUCGACUAGCCGUUGGGAGCCUCGAGUUCUUAGUGGCGCAGUUAACGCGAUAAGUCGACCGCCUGGGGAGUACGGCCGCAAGGUUAAAACUCAAAUGAAUUGACGGGGGCCCGCACAAGCGGUGGAGCAUGUGGUUUAAUUCGAUGCAACGCGAAGAACCUUACCUACCCUUGACAUCGUGCGAACUUGGUAGAGAUACCUUGGUGCCUUCGGGAACGCACAGACAGGUGCUGCAUGGCUGUCGUCAGCUCGUGUUGUGAAAUGUUGGGUUAAGUCCCGUAACGAGCGCAACCCUUGUCCCUAUUUGCCAGCGAUUCGGUCGGGAACUCUAGGGAGACUGCCGGUGACAAACCGGAGGAAGGUGGGGACGACGUCAAGUCAUCAUGGCCCUUACGGGUAGGGCUACACACGUGCUACAAUGGUCGGUACAAAGGGUUGCAAAGCGGCGACGUGGAGCUAAUCCCAGAAAGCUGAUCUCAGUCCGGAUCGGAGUCUGCAACUCGACUCCGUGAAGUCGGAAUCGCUAGUAAUCGUGAAUCAGAAUGUCACGGUGAAUACGUUCCCGGGCCUUGUACACACCGCCCGUCACACCAUGGGAGUGGACUGCACCAGAAGUGGUUAGCCUAACUUCGGAGG